GGGGGUGAAAUAGAUUCGACACAUGGGGACGUGUACACAUUGCAAGUCGCGGCGCUCUGACCGCGUGAACAACGGAGCUAGCACACAUAAGUGCCAACCAAAACACAUUCGCUCUUCCCGUCGCUGCAUAAGUAGCUGACCGGAGAGUGCUAGCCCCGAAGUGGCUAGCCGUCUGCCCCAUCCGUCUUCGUCCGGGUGGUUCGGUAGGCGACACCAAAGACGAAGUGCGACCUCACCGAUGCCGAUAAGUGAGGCCAAGCGACAUCGGCUAGUUGACGGUUUACCCGGUUGGCCGGGGCUGCCGUCGGCGAAUGUAAAAGGCCAACUAAACUUGUAGAGAUGUGUAGGCCAGCCAUGUGGACUCGGGUGCGACUCCCGACACCUCCACUA
RNAcentral lists this transfer-messenger RNA (390 nucleotides) under Chloroflexota bacterium. RNAcentral describes it as "Chloroflexi bacterium transfer-messenger RNA". It matches the Rfam family "transfer-messenger RNA". Rfam says of the family: Bacterial tmRNA, also known as 10Sa RNA or SsrA, is named for its dual tRNA and mRNA-like properties. The record is from RNAcentral. Lineage: Bacteria; Bacillati; Chloroflexota. RNAcentral also lists the same sequence under 1 other name.